Molecule: ribosomal RNA, 794 nt
Filed under: Oedohysterium sinense
Lineage: Eukaryota; Fungi; Ascomycota; Dothideomycetes; Hysteriales; Hysteriaceae
Description: eukaryotic LSU rRNA
Rfam family: Eukaryotic large subunit ribosomal RNA
Source: RNAcentral
GGCGAGUGAAGCGGCAACAGCUCAAAUUUGGAAUCUGGCUCCCUCUGGGGGUCCGAGUUGUACUUUGCAGAGGAUGCUUCGGCGUGGGCCCCGGUCCAAGUUCCCUGGAACGGGACGUCGCAGAGGGUGAGAAUCCCGUACGCGGCCGGCGGCGCUCGCCAUGUGAAGCUCCUUCGACGAGUCGAGUUGUUUGGGAAUGCAGCUCUAACUGGGAGGUAAAUUUCUCCUAAGGCUAAAUACCGGCCAGAGACCGAUAGCGCACAAGUAGAGUGAUCGAAAGAUGAAAAGCACUUUGGAAAGAGAGUCAAACAGUACGUGAAAUUGUUGAAAGGGAAGCGCUUGCCACCAGACCUGACCGCGGUCGCUCAUCCGGGCUUCUGCCCGGUGCACUCCUCUGCGGUCAGGCCAGCAUCGGUUCCGGCGGUCGGACAAAGGCGGCGGGAAUGUGGCUCCUCUCGGGGAGUGUUAUAGCCCGCCGUGUCCUGCGGCCAGCUGGGACCGAGGUCCGCGCUUCGGCUAGGAUGCUGGCGUAAUGGUGGCAAGCGGCCCGUCUUGAAACACGGACCAAGGAGUCUAACAUCUGUGCGAGUGUUUGGGUGUCAAGCCCGAGCGCGCAAUGAAAGUGAACGGAGGCGGGAACCCUUUGGGUGCACCGUCGACCGAUCCUGAUGUCUUCGGAUGGAUUUGAGUAAGAGCAUAGCUGUUGGGACCCGAAAGAUGGUGAACUAUGCCUGAAUAGGGUGAAGCCAAAGGAAACUCUGGUGGAGGCUCGCAGCGGUUCUGACGUGCAAAUC